RNAcentral lists this ribosomal RNA (433 nucleotides) under uncultured bacterium. RNAcentral's name for it is "partial 16S ribosomal RNA". It matches the Rfam family "Bacterial small subunit ribosomal RNA", at positions 29 to 507 of the family's 1533-position model. The record is from RNAcentral.
AACGAACGCUGGCGGCAGGCCUAACACAUGCAAGUCGAACGAGGCCUUCGUGAGUGGUGGCGCACGGGUGCGGAACGCGGGGGAAGGGGCCCGUAGGUUCGGAAUAACACCCCGAAAGGGGGGCUAAUACCGGGAAAUGUCUGCGGACAAAAGAUUUAUCGCCUGUGGGUGGGCCCGCGUUGGUUUAGCUAGGUGGGAGGGUAAAAGCCGACCAAGGCGACGAUCGAUCGCGGGGCUGAGAGGACGAUCGGCCACCCUGGGAAUGAGACACGGCACAGACAUCUACGAGAGGCAGCGGUAGGGAAUAUUGGACAAUGCGCGAAAGCCUGAUCCAGCAUUGCGGCGUGAGUGAUGAAGGUCUUAGGGUUGUAACGCUCUUUUAAUCCCGAUGUUAAUGACCGUUCCGGGAGAAUAAGCCCCGGCUAACUCCGUG